CCUACGGGUGGCAGCAGUGGGGAAUAUUGCGCAAUGGGCGAAAGCCUGACGCAGCGACGCCGCGUGAGGGAUGAAGGUCUUCGGAUCGUAAACCUCUGUCAGCAGGGAAGAACGGUCACUGUGCUAAUCAGCAGUGAAUUGACGGUACCUGCACAGGAAGCACCGGCUAACUCCGUGCCAGCAGCCGCGGUAAUACGGAGGGGGCGAGCGUUUAUCGGAAUUACUGGGCGUAAAGCGCUCGUAGGCGGUUUGUCAAGUCAGGGGUGAAAUCCCCGCGCUCAACGUGGGAACUGCCUUUGAAACGGGCAGACUGGAGUGUGUGAGAGGAUAGUGGAAUUCCAGGUGUAGGAGUGAAAUCCGUAGAUAUCUGGAGGAACAUCAGUGGCGAAGGCGACUAUCUGGCACAUAACUGACGCUGAGGAGCGAAAGCGUGGGUAGCAAACAGGAUUAGAUACCCCAGUAGUC
This 465-nucleotide ribosomal RNA is filed under the name uncultured bacterium. RNAcentral describes it as "partial 16S ribosomal RNA". It matches the Rfam family "Bacterial small subunit ribosomal RNA", at positions 338 to 795 of the family's 1533-position model. The record is from RNAcentral.